Molecule: long non-coding RNA, 1509 nt
Organism: Elaeis guineensis (African oil palm)
Lineage: Eukaryota; Viridiplantae; Streptophyta; Magnoliopsida; Arecales; Arecaceae
Source: RefSeq, a predicted model, not a curated record
CGCUGGGGUUUUGUGCUGGAUAUUUAUCAAACAUAAAAACAGCCCCAAUGCAACCCAAAUGAUGGCUGGGGUUUUAAUCAAGAAACAAACUCACUCCAGCUCCAUGGGAUCCGACGACAUCAUGCAGCCGAGGCCUUGCGGCCAAGACGAUGCGCCCGCCAUCUAGGAAAUCUGGUGGCAGUUGCGACGAAGGAGCCUUGACUGCCUCUGUGCCAAGGUCGCUCAGAUCUUGCGGCAUAUCAACACCCCACUCACGGACAUCAUCCGCAACCAUGCCCUCCCCUACCUCCCUGCCGCCUCCGACCUCCGCUUUCGCUUCGUCUCCGCCUCCUGAUCCCAAGUCAUCUCCUCCCCCAACUUUGCCCUCACCCAGUCCAGCUGCCACCGCUCCAUCUCUGGCAUCUUCUCCUCCAUCGCCUCCUGCCCGUCCGUCGCCCCCUUCGAUCCAAUCACCCAUGCCCUCCCCGACCCCUCUCUUUCCUUCCUUCCACACCCCACGAUCAUCGUCCGAUCCUCAUCAAUGGCUUCCUCUGCUGCUUCACGCCUGUCCACCGCCCCUCCUACUUCGUCUGUAACCCAACCACCGCCGCCUGGGCCAAGAUCCUACCCCCUCCCCCGCCCAUCCACCCAGGCCCGACCCCACCCUUGCCCUCAUCUUUGAGCCCUCCGCUUAUAAUCUCGAGUCGCACUAUGCCAUGGUCAUCGCCUUCCAGAUCACCCGCACGAUCGGGGAACCAUCCUAAGAUCCCUUAGCGGCUGGAGAUCAAUGGAGGGGCAGUGGUGCAGCGGUCGACGAAGUUGCUGCUAAACGUGAUGAUCGAGCGAAAUGUGAGGCUGGUGCUCAUGGUGAUGUCGUCAGAGAACACGAUGGCAGAUCUGGUCUAGACAGUGAUGGAGACGUACGCCAAGCAGGGCCACCGACCACCUCUCCCCCACAGCGAUCCCAAAGCCUUCGACCUCCACUACUCUCGGUAUAGCCUAGAGAAUGUGGAGAUCUCCAUUGAAGAAAUUCAGUCAGCAGUUAGUGCAAUACUAGAAGAAAAUAUGGAUGCCAUACUGGAGUUGUGCUAUCAUAUAAAUGGUUUUUUCUUUAAAUAAAAAAUUCUAUGCUUUUGUAUAUUUCAAUGGCAGCUAUAUUAAUUUUUGUGAUUUACUUCUCGAAUGACGGUCGUCGAAGAUCAACCACAGGCACCAUCAUCUAAGUGCUGUGGGAUUUGCAUUUUGCUGAAAUACUAUGUUCACCUUUAUCAUUCAGCAUAGGAGUUUUUGAGCAUUGUCGAGUGUCUUUUGAGUAGGAAAAUCAUAUUGCAGAAAAUCUAGCUCUAGGACCACUGCAAUUCAUUUUUAUUAUAUUCGUAGCUAAAAGAAUUGCACUUCAGUUUUGUAAUUGUUCUUGAAUUCUUAUUUUUGGAGCCCCUAUUGUGUCAAACUUUCGCAAUAUUUAUGGAUUUUCCAUAAAAGGCUUCAUAGACCCAUGCAAAAUGUAUUAGUCAUUCUUCCCUUCAUUCC